AAAGCGAGCGAGUGAUCGUAAGCAAAUCUCAAAAUAACGUCUCAGUUCGGAUUGUAGUCUGCAACUCGACUACAUGAAGCUGGAAUCGCUAGUAAUCGCGGAUCAGAAUGCCGCGGUGAAUACGUUCCCGGGUCUUGUACACACCGCCCGUCACACCAUGGGAGUCGGAAAUGCCCGAAGUCUGUGACCUAACCGUAAGGAAGGAGCAGCCGAAGGCAGGUCGGAUGACUGGGGUGAAGUCGUAACAAGGUACC
This 254-nucleotide ribosomal RNA is filed under the name uncultured bacterium. Its description in RNAcentral is "partial 16S ribosomal RNA". It matches the Rfam family "Bacterial small subunit ribosomal RNA", at positions 1246 to 1500 of the family's 1533-position model. The record is from RNAcentral.